CCACGAAGCCCUCCUUGAUUGCUGGGCCCUGGUUGAACUCCUUAUUAGUAACACCCAGGUUAGUCCUACUUAAUUCUUACCUGCAGCCAAAGUGGACUUAGCAUCUCCUUGCAUGCCUGGUAAAGUCAAGGGUUUUCAGCCAGGGCCUGUGUAUAAAGCAGAAGCAGCACAGAGUCUGGUUUGAAGCUUAGUGCUUGGGUUCAGACAGUUGUGGGUUACAAUCCCUUCUACACAUGUUCUCUGUGGAAACCAUUUGGUUCUCUGUGCUUGGAACUCGCCUGCAACGGGACAAAGCCAUCUCACCUAGACUGUUGUUAUGAAGAUUGAAUUAGGUGAUUCUGAGAGGCAUUUAUGCGUCCUCCCUGAGUAACAAUCCAUGAAAAGUGGGCGUCAUUGCUGAAGCUCAAGGAAGAAAUAUGAAAUUUGAUUAUAUCCUUAUUCACGGCAUUGGGUCACCAACUCAGCACUUUUUAUGAAAGUAGCAUCUGACCUGGCAAAGGCUGUGUCAUCUUAUUACCUCAGAAAGACAAAUUUACGGGGUCAGACGAUGGAUGGCUUGUAGAUUUCUCAAUGGGCUGGAAGGAAGGAGAGAAAAAGAGAGACAGGAGAGAGUACACAUUUAAUUCUGCUUCCCCUAGGGUGAUAUUUCCUUCCUCCCCUUCCAGGGUUCUCAAAAAGGCAUUCUAGGAAGUCCUGUAAAAUACAUGCUCAUAAAAAUCUCAUAAUUUCCACAAAUUGUUGAGAAUUUAAAACUCGGUUGGGAGUUUGCUGUUUCAGCCUGAGACACCGGGGUCACGUUUCAGUGCCUGCAGUCUUGAGACAGUACCAGGCAUCUGGGAUGAAGCUGAGGAAAGAAGAUGUGGGGGCCCUGCUGGCCUGCUCCUUCUCUCGAAAGACGCUUACCGGCUGCUGGUGUGUCACAGGGCUUUAGGAUUUGGAAAAACAGAGGGAUUUAAAAGAAGAUAGAAUGGUCAGAAUUUCGAGAACUGUGUGCUGAAGUGCCAUCUUUAGGGUGCUCAUAACACGGCCUUACAACAUUAGAGGUGCUGGAAUCAUGGAAGAGGCAUCUGGACUCUGUAAUGUCCUUCCCCCUGGAAAAUCUGCUCCAGAAGUGGGGGAUUGGGAGCUGUCAACAUAUGAGCCAUCUUUUGCUCCGUUCAAGAUGGUACAGUCCUGCAGUCCUCAGAGGAUGCCAGUCCCACACAGGGGGAUCCUUCUCCAUAGGAAAACCGAGGAACAAUGCAGGUUCGAGGUGCACAGUGGCUAAGCACACUCAGUCCUCAAGAUCUUUCCUCUCAAAUGCUAAUGCUACCUUCAGAUGGGCUGCUGCCUGCUACCAUUUCAACAUUGAGUCCUUUAAGAUGCCAUCAGAGAGAGGGGAAGCAAGAGGCCAAGAAAAAUGAAAGGAGUUAAGAGUAAACCAUACUCCGGGCAACCAUCACCCCAAAAGGGAGACAACCAGACCUUCUGUGCCUCCCAAUGAAAGUCCACAUUCAACACCACCUACGAAGGAUUCUUACCAAAGACACCAAAACUGAACUCAGGCAACCCUCCAGAUAUAACUACCAAUUUGCAGAAAAUAAAAGGGAUAGAAGAACACAAAGAUGCA
RNAcentral lists this long non-coding RNA (1609 nucleotides) under Homo sapiens (human). RNAcentral's name for it is "non-protein coding LINC01622:7". The record is from RNAcentral. Lineage: Eukaryota; Metazoa; Chordata; Mammalia; Primates; Hominidae.